GGGCAUGAGGGUAAUCUGGCUGCUACACCUGUCUCGCCAUUGAUCGUCAGGGUUGAUUCGGCUGACCUGGCUGGUGAGGUGCAUUUCCCUUCCUCCCUCCCUGCUCCACGUGCAUCCCUCCCAAAGCUGUGAAGCUGUGCUGUAGGUGGAAGAGGACCUUCUUUGGUCAAGGGUGUAGGAGUAGCUGUGCUCCCCUGCUAGAACCUUCAGACAAACUCUCAAGCACCAUUUGUAGGAGAAAGCAGGGCAGUCAAGUCUCCAAGACUCGGAGACACUGCAUGUUGCCGGCGGCCUUAA
Molecule: small nuclear RNA, 297 nt
Filed under: Felis catus (domestic cat)
Lineage: Eukaryota; Metazoa; Chordata; Mammalia; Carnivora; Felidae
Description: 7SK RNA
Rfam family: 7SK RNA
About the family: 7SK was discovered as an abundant small nuclear RNA in the mid-70s but a possible function has only recently been suggested. Two independent studies have found that 7SK RNA binds the CDK9/cyclin T complex (known as elongation factor P-TEFb).
Source: Rfam by way of RNAcentral